AUAGCCUUUACUUCAGUUUUCACAAGCUGUCCAAAAUCAGUUGGCAGCAAAUAGGUAAAACAAGUUUAAACGUCAUCACUCAAGCUUCAAUCUAGAGAAAAGUUGCCAUACUUACCUCACAGAAUUUCAACUCAGUUCCUGCUGAGUUAAGGUGGAAGAACAUAGUCAAACAUCAAUUCCCAAGCUUCAAAAGCCAUCCCCCAGGUUUCCAAACCAGCUUGUAGCAAGAGAGGGAGAAAAACCAACUCAAAUCCACUAGUUUUUCCUUUCCAAAUGGAAGACCUAGAGAGAAAAAGAAAGAAGGCAUCCCUUACCUUAUCCUCA
RNAcentral lists this long non-coding RNA (324 nucleotides) under Ananas comosus (pineapple). Its description in RNAcentral is "long non-coding RNA (ACOM_LNC015013)". Lineage: Eukaryota; Viridiplantae; Streptophyta; Magnoliopsida; Poales; Bromeliaceae. The record is from RNAcentral.